Molecule: ribosomal RNA, 386 nt
Filed under: uncultured bacterium
Lineage: Bacteria
Description: bacterial SSU rRNA
Rfam family: Bacterial small subunit ribosomal RNA
Source: RNAcentral
UCGGGAAUUUUGGGCAAUGGGCGAAAGCCUGACCCAGCAACGCCGCGUGAGGGAUGAAGUAUUUCGGUAUGUAAACCUCGAAAGAAUGGGAAGAAUAAAUGACGGUACCAUUUAUAAGCUCCGGCUAACUACGUGCCAGCAGCCGCGGUAAUACGUAGGGAGCAAGCGUGUUUCGGAUUUACUGGGCGUAAAGGGCGCGUAGGCGGCGCAGUAAGUCACUUGUGAAAUCUCUGAGCUUAACUCAGAACGGCCAAGUGAUACUGCUGUGCUAGAGUGCGGAAGAGGCAACCGGAAUGCUUUGUGUAGCGGUGAAAUGCGUAAAAAUCAAGAGGAAAACCGGAGUCGAAGGCGGGUUGCUGGGGCGACACUGACGCUGAUGCGCGAAA